UGCAGUCGACGGACUCAGCCGGUGGUAACACCGGCGAAAGUUAGUGGCGAACGGGUGCGUAACACGUGAGCAACCUACCCUAGAGACUGGGAUAACACCGGGAAACCGGUGCUAAUACCGGAUACCCCCAUCCCAUCGCAUGGUGGAAUGAGGAAAUGUUUUUCGCUCUUGGAGGGGCUCGCGGCCUAUCAGCUUGUUGGUGAGGUAACGGCUCACCAAGGCUUCGACGGGUAGCUGGUCUGAGAGGACGACCAGCCACACUGGGACUGAGACACGGCCCAGACUCCUACGGGAGGCAGCAGUGGGGAAUAUUGCGCAAUGGGCGAAAGCCUGACGCAGCAACGCCGCGUGGAGGAUGAAGGCUCUCGGGUUGUAAACUCCUUUCAGCAGGGAAGAAAUUGACGGUACCUGCAGAAGAAGCACCGGCCAACUACGUGCCAGCAGCCGCGGUAAUACGUAGGGUGCAAGCGUUGUCCGGAUUCAUUGGGCGUAAAGAGCUCGUAGGCGGCUUGGCAAGUCAGAUGUGAAACCCUCAGGCUUAACCUGGGGAUGCCAUCUGAUACUGCUAUGGCUAGAGUGCGGUAGGGGACUACGGAAUUCCUGGUGUAGCGGUGAAAUGCGCAGAUAUCACGAGGAACACCGGUGGCGAA
Molecule: ribosomal RNA, 650 nt
Filed under: uncultured bacterium
Lineage: Bacteria
Description: bacterial SSU rRNA
Rfam family: Bacterial small subunit ribosomal RNA
Source: RNAcentral